AGUCCUGGCUAACUCCGUGCCAGCAGCCGCGGUAAUACGGAGGGGGCUAGCGUUGUUCGGAAUUACUGGGCGUAAAGCGCACGUAGGCGGACCAGAAAGUUGGGGGUGAAAUCCCGGGGCUCAACCCCGGAACUGCCUCCAAAACUCCUGGUCUUGAGUUCGAGAGAGGUGAGUGGAAUUCCGAGUGUAGAGGUGAAAUUCGUAGAUAUUCGGAGGAACACCAGUGGCGAAGGCGGCUCACUGGCUCGAUACUGACGCUGAGGUGCGAAAGCGUGGGGAGCAAGCAGGAUUAGAUACCCUGGUAGUCCACGCCGUAGACGAUGAAUGCCAGUCGUCGGAAAGUAUACUUGUCGGUUGACACACCUAACGGAUUAAGCAUUCCGCCUGGGGAGUACGGUCGCAAGAUUAAAACUCAAAAGGAAUUUGACGGGGGGCCCGCACAAAGCGGUGGAGCAUGUGGUUUAAUUCAAAGCAACGCGCAGAACCUUACCAACCCUUGACAUCCUGAUCGCGGUUAGUGAAGACACUUUCCUUCAGUUCGGCUGGAUCAGUGACAAGUGCUGCAUUGGCUGUCGUCAACUUCGUUGUCGUGAAAAUGUUCGGGUUAAGUCCGGCAACGAAGCGCAACCCCACGUCCUUAGUUGCCAUCAUUCAGUUGGGCACUCUAGGGAAACUGCCGAUGAUAAGUCGGAGGAAGGUGUGGAUGACGUCAAGUCCUCAUGGCCCUUACGGGUUGGGCUACACACGUGCUACAAUGGCAGUGACAAUGGGUUAAUCCCUAAAAGCUGUCUCAGUUCGGAUUGGGGUCUGCAACUCGACCCCAUGAAGUCGGAAUCGCUAGUAAUCGCGUAACAGCAUGACGCGGUGAAUACGUUCCCGGGCCUUGUACACACCGCCCGUCACACCAUGGGAAUUGGUUCUACCCGACGACGCUGCGCUAACCCUACGGCAGGCAGGCGGCCACGGUGGGAUCAGUCACUGGGGUGAAAGCC
Molecule: ribosomal RNA, 992 nt
Filed under: bacterium AgA1
Lineage: Bacteria; Pseudomonadati; Pseudomonadota; Alphaproteobacteria; Rhodobacterales; Paracoccaceae
Description: bacterial SSU rRNA
Rfam family: Bacterial small subunit ribosomal RNA
Source: RNAcentral